AUUGAACGCUGGCGGCAGGCUUAACACAUGCAAGUCGAGCGGUAACAGAGAGAAGCUUGCUUCUCUGCUGACGAGCGGCGGACGGGUGAGUAAUGCCUAGGAAUCUGCCUAGUAGUGGGGGAUAACUUGCCGAAAGGUAAGCUAAUACCGCAUACGUCCUACGGGAGAAAGGAGGGGACCUUCGGGCCUUUCGCUAUUAGAUGAGCCUAGGUCGGAUUAGUUAGUUGGUGAGGUAAUGGCUCACCAAGACCGCGAUCCGUAACUGGUCUGAGAGGAUUAUCAGUCACACUGGAACAGAGACACGGUCCAGACUCCUACAGGAGGCAGCAGUGGGGAAUAUUGGACAAUGGAGGGAACCCUGAUCCAGCCAUGCCACGUGUGUGAAGAAGGUCUUAGGAUUGUAAAGCACUUUAAGUUGGGAGGAAGAGCAGUUAACUAAUAUUUGACUGUUUUGACGUUACCGACAGAAUAAGCACCGGCUAACUUCGUGCCAGCAGCCGCAGUAA
This 506-nucleotide ribosomal RNA is filed under the name uncultured bacterium. Its description in RNAcentral is "partial 16S ribosomal RNA". It matches the Rfam family "Bacterial small subunit ribosomal RNA", at positions 30 to 523 of the family's 1533-position model. The record is from RNAcentral.